Molecule: ribosomal RNA, 497 nt
Filed under: uncultured bacterium
Lineage: Bacteria
Description: partial 16S ribosomal RNA
Rfam family: Bacterial small subunit ribosomal RNA
Source: RNAcentral
GAUGAACGCUGGCGGCGUGCCUAAUACAUGCAAGUCGAGCGAACGGACGAGAAGCUUGCUUCUCUGAUGUUAGCGGCGGACGGGUUAGUAACACGUGGAUAACCUACCUAUAAGACUGGGAUAACUUCGGGAAACCGGAGCUAAUACCGGAUAAUAUUUUGAACCGCAUGGUUCAAAAGUUAAAGACGGUCUUGCUGUCACUUAUAGAUGGAUCCGCGCUGCAUUAGCUAGUUGGUAAGGUAACGGCUUACCAAGGCAACGAUGCAUAGCCGACCUGAGAGGGUGAUCAGCCACACUGGAACUGAGACACGGCCCAGACUCCUACGGGAGGCAGCAGUAGGGAAUUUUCCGCAAUGGGCGAAAGCCUGAUCGAGCAAUGCCGCGUGCGUGAUGAAGGUCUUCGGAUUGUAAACCUCUGUUAUUAGGGACGAAAAUAUGUGUACGUAAAUGUGCACAUCUUGACGGUACCUAAUCAGAAAGCCCCGGCUAACUACGUG